UGGUGGAGUGAUUUGUCUGGUUAAUUCCGAUAACGAACGAGACCUCAGCCUGCUAAAUAGUUACGCGAUUCUCGAAUCGCGGGCAUACUUCUUAGAGGGACUAUCGGUGACUAACCGAUGGAAGUUUGAGGCAAUAACA
RNAcentral lists this ribosomal RNA (139 nucleotides) under uncultured eukaryote. RNAcentral describes it as "partial 18S ribosomal RNA". It matches the Rfam family "Eukaryotic small subunit ribosomal RNA", at positions 1299 to 1458 of the family's 1831-position model. The record is from RNAcentral.